This 368-nucleotide ribosomal RNA is filed under the name uncultured bacterium. RNAcentral describes it as "bacterial SSU rRNA". It matches the Rfam family "Bacterial small subunit ribosomal RNA", at positions 29 to 414 of the family's 1533-position model. The record is from RNAcentral.
AACGAACGCUUGCGGCAGGCCUAACACAUGCAAGUCGAACGGUAGACUGGUUUCGGCCAGUUGAGAGUGGCAAACGGGUGCGUAACACGUGGGAACAUGCCCAUAGGUGGGGAAUAACUACGGGAAACUGGUAGCUAAUACCGCAUACCCUCUACGGAGGAAAGAUUUACCGCCUAUGGAUUGGCCCGCGGUCGAUUAGAUAGUUGGUGAGGUAAUGGCUCACCAAGUCUAUGAUCGAUAGCUGGUUUGAGAGAACGGCCAGCCACAUUGGGACUGAGACACGGCCCAGACUCCUACGGGAGCAGCAGUGGGGAAUAUUGCACAAUGGGCGCAAGCCUGAUGCAGCCAUGCCGCGUGUGUGAAGAAGG